Molecule: ribosomal RNA, 807 nt
Filed under: Neurospora novoguineensis
Lineage: Eukaryota; Fungi; Ascomycota; Sordariomycetes; Sordariales; Sordariaceae
Description: partial large subunit ribosomal RNA
Rfam family: Eukaryotic large subunit ribosomal RNA
Source: RNAcentral
UGCCUAGUAACGGCGAGUGAAGCGGCAACAGCUCAAAUUUGAAAUCUGGCUUCGGCCCGAGUUGUAAUUUGUAGAGGAAGCUUUUGGUGAGGCACCUUCUGAGUCCCCUGGAACGGGGCGCCAUAGAGGGUGAGAGCCCCGUAUAGUCGGAUGCCGAUCCAAUGUAAAGCUCCUUCGACGAGUCGAGUAGUUUGGGAAUGCUGCUCAAAAUGGGAGGUAAAUUUCUUCUAAAGCUAAAUACCGGCCAGAGACCGAUAGCGCACAAGUAGAGUGAUCGAAAGAUGAAAAGCACUUUGAAAAGAGGGUUAAAUAGCACGUGAAAUUGUUGAAAGGGAAGCGUUUGUGACCAGACUUGCGCCGUUCCGAUCAUCCGGUGUUCUCACCGGUGCACUCGGGACGGCACAGGCCAGCAUCGGUUUUGGCGGGGGGACAAAGGCCCUGGGAACGUAGCUCCUCCGGGAGUGUUAUAGCCCAGGGCGUAAUGCCCUCGCCGGGACCGAGGUUCGCGCAUCUGCAAGGAUGCUGGCGUAAUGGUCACCAACGACCCGUCUUGAAACACGGACCAAGGAGUCAAGGUUUUGCGCGAGUGUUUGGGUGUAAAACCCGCACGCGUAAUGAAAGUGAACGUAGGUGAGAGCUUCGGCGCAUCAUCGACCGAUCCUGAUGUAUUCGGAUGGAUUUGAGUAAGAGCGUUAAGCCUUGGACCCGAAAGAUGGUGAACUAUGCUUGGAUAGGGUGAAGCCAGAGGAAACUCUGGUGGAGGCUCGCAGCGGUUCUGACGUGCAAAUCGAUCGUCAAAUCUGAGCA